This 411-nucleotide ribosomal RNA is filed under the name Microbacterium sp. 050-2.2-CV-H12(h)-07. RNAcentral's name for it is "bacterial SSU rRNA". It matches the Rfam family "Bacterial small subunit ribosomal RNA", at positions 61 to 484 of the family's 1533-position model. The record is from RNAcentral. Lineage: Bacteria; Bacillati; Actinomycetota; Actinomycetes; Micrococcales; Microbacteriaceae.
GUCGAACGGUGAAGCCCAGCUUGCUGGGUGGAUCAGUGGCGAACGGGUGAGUAACACGUGAGCAACCUGCCCCUGACUCUGGGAUAAGCGCUGGAAACGGCGUCUAAUACUGGAUACGAGACGUGAUCGCAUGGUCAACGUUUGGAAAGAUUUUUCGGUUGGGGAUGGGCUCGCGGCCUAUCAGCUUGUUGGUGAGGUAAUGGCUCACCAAGGCGUCGACGGGUAGCCGGCCUGAGAGGGUGACCGGCCACACUGGGACUGAGACACGGCCCAGACUCCUACGGGAGGCAGCAGUGGGGAAUAUUGCACAAUGGGCGCAAGCCUGAUGCAGCAACGCCGCGUGAGGGAUGACGGCCUUCGGGUUGUAAACCUCUUUUAGCAGGGAAGAAGCGAGAGUGACGGUACCUGCAG